UUGACAUACUAAGAACUUUCCAGAGAUGGAUUGGUGCCUUUCGGGAACUUAGAUACAGGUGCUGCAUGGCUGUCGUCAGCUCGUGUCGCGAGAUGUUGGGUUAAGUCCCGNAACGAGCGCAACCCUUUUCCUUAUUUGCCAGCGGGUCAUGCCGGGAACUUUAAGGAUACUGCCAGUGACAAACUGGAGGAAGGCGGGGACGACGUCAAGUCAUCAUGGCCCUUACGGCCAGGGCUACACACGUGCUACAAUGGUCGGUACAAAGGGUUGCUACCUCGCGAGAGGAUGCUAAUCUCAAAAAGCCGAUCGUAGUCCGGAUCGCAGUCUGCAACUCGACUGCGUGAAGUCGGAAUCGCUAGUAAUCGCGGAUCAGAAUGCCGCGGUGAAUACGUUCCCGGGCCUUGUACACACCGCCCGUCACACCAUGGGAGUUUGUUGCACCAGAAGUAGGUAGUCUAACCGCAAGGAGGACGCUUACCACGGUGUGGCCGAUGACUGGGGUGAAGUCGUAACAAGGUAGGCGUAGAUGA
This 530-nucleotide ribosomal RNA is filed under the name uncultured bacterium. RNAcentral's name for it is "bacterial SSU rRNA". It matches the Rfam family "Bacterial small subunit ribosomal RNA", at positions 981 to 1509 of the family's 1533-position model. The record is from RNAcentral.